AACGAACGCUGGCGGCAGGCCUAACACAUGCAAGUCGAGCGAGGACUUCGGUCCUAGCGGCGGACGGGUGAGUAACGCGUGGGAACGUGCCCUUUGCUUCGGAAUAGCCCUGGGAAACUGGGAGUAAUACCGGAUGAGCCCUUUGGGGGAAAGAUUUAUCGGCGAAGGAUCGGCCCGCGUUGGAUUAGGUAGUUGGUGGGGUAAUGGCCUACCAAGCCGUCGAUCCAUAGCUGGUUGGAGAGGAUGAUCAGCCACACUGGGACUGAGACACGGCCCAGACUCCUACGGGAGGCAGCAGUGGGGAAUCUUAGACAAUGGGGGAAACCCUGAUCGAGCCAUGCCGCGUGAGCGAUGAAGGCCUUAGGGUUGUAAAGCUCUUUCAGCUGGGAAGAUAAUGACGGUACCAGCAGAAGAAGCCCCGGCUAACUCCGUG
This 433-nucleotide ribosomal RNA is filed under the name uncultured bacterium. Its description in RNAcentral is "partial 16S ribosomal RNA". It matches the Rfam family "Bacterial small subunit ribosomal RNA", at positions 29 to 507 of the family's 1533-position model. The record is from RNAcentral.